CAGAACUUUCCAGAGAUGGAUUGGUGCCUUCGGGAACUGUGAGACAGGUGCUGCAUGGCUGUCGUCAGCUCGUGUUGUGAAAUGUUGGGUUAAGUCCCGCAACGAGCGCAACCCUUAUCCUUUGUUGCCAGCGGUCCGGCCGGGAACUCAAAGGAGACUGCCAGUGAUAAACUGGAGGAAGGUGGGGAUGACGUCAAGUCAUCAUGGCCCUUACGACCAGGGCUACACACGUGCUACAAUGGCGCAUACAAAGAGAAGCGACCUCGCGAGAGCAAGCGGACCUCAUAAAGUGCGUCGUAGUCCGGAUUGGAGUCUGCAACUCGACUCCAUGAAGUCGGAAUCGCUAGUAAUCGUGGAUCAGAAUGCCACGGUGAAUACGUUCCCGGGCCUUGUACACACCGCCCGUCACACCAUGGGAGUGGGUUGCAAAAGAAGUAGGUAGCUUAACCUUCGGGAGGGCGCUUACCACUUUGUGAUUCAUGACUGGGGUGAAGUCGUAACAAGGUAACCGUAGGGGAACCUGCGGCUGGAUCACCUC
This 538-nucleotide ribosomal RNA is filed under the name uncultured bacterium. Its description in RNAcentral is "bacterial SSU rRNA". It matches the Rfam family "Bacterial small subunit ribosomal RNA", at positions 991 to 1529 of the family's 1533-position model. The record is from RNAcentral.